ACUGGAAGUCCAAGAUCAAGGAUUGGCAUGGCCGUGCUCGCUCCCGCUCCUCUCAUCUCUGAAUUCUUUCCAUGGCAAGAAUCCUGAACCUGAAAUGGGGUAGUGCCUGGCAGUGUUGCCAGCUGGGCACAGGUUACACAUUCUGGUGAACCAGCAAGGAGAUUGCUAUAGGAGCUUCCAGGAGUCUGUUUUCACUGAUUUCAAGUAAGACAUCUGGAGGAAUGCCAACUGGUGAGAAGGUGUUGCAAGGGUACUACUCAGCUGCAGGAUACAGGAUUCUGAGCCUCAGUGAGGGAGCACUCUUUGUCAUCUCAAAGAGUCCCAGCUAUAUUCUCAGGGCUGCCUGAUGAAACUAAGAAACAAUUUAGAGCCUUCCCGUGAAUGGCAGAAUAUUGCAGAAUCUGUAUAACUCGAUUUGGAGAAGUUGCACAGCCUCUAUAUGAUGCCAUUGGAAGACUAGAUACCCCCUUGGAGUGGGGAGCAAAGCAAGCCUCUGCAUUAACUGCCCUCAAGAGUGCUCUUACCAUCCAGCCUGCCCUGGGCCUAGCAAACUUAGCAGUUGAGUCAGUGGAAUCUCCAGUUGGAUUCAUCUGUCCAUGGUCUAUAGGAGGGCUUGAACUACAGACCAUCCUGAACAAAAAGAAUCCUGCUGUCAACCACCAGACGGAUUAAAAUUCCUACUAAAGAAGCAGAGCUAAGUACAAUGAGCUCCUUCUCUCUCCUUUGUGUGCCGCUAUACCUUGCACCUUUCAUCUUAUCCGAACACCUCUUAAAAAGCCUCUUAAAUUAAUCCACCGCAUGAACUCGAGGCCUCCCCCAGACCUACGUAGUGUCCCUAGCAGCAGUGAUGCGUCGGAACAGGCGAGCCUUGGAUGCACUCACUGCAGCACAAGGGGGAACUUGCCUCUUCUUAAAAGACUAAUGCUGCUUUUAUGUCCACCACUCAGGUGAAAUUCAGGAGAACAUGAGGGACCUUUUGGAGCAAUCCCAACCAAUUAAAUACAAUACUGGAAGCAACUGGAAUCCUUUCCCACAUCUGCCUAAUCUAACUACUGGGAUCCUUCCUUUUUCUGGGUCCUUUAAUUACUUUUCUUCUCAUUCCUAUGUUUGGCCCAUGCAUGUGCAACCUACUUGUCAUUAAACUCAUGCUCAUCCAUUCUGGACCAGGACCAGCCCACCCCCACCCUUAGUAGAAUCAAGAAAGAGUUUUUCACUCUGGCAAGUAGGGUCUACCCCCUUAAAACAG
Molecule: long non-coding RNA, 1246 nt
Organism: Choloepus didactylus (southern two-toed sloth)
Lineage: Eukaryota; Metazoa; Chordata; Mammalia; Pilosa; Megalonychidae
Exons: 5
Source: RefSeq, a predicted model, not a curated record